RNAcentral lists this ribosomal RNA (256 nucleotides) under uncultured bacterium. RNAcentral describes it as "partial 16S ribosomal RNA". It matches the Rfam family "Bacterial small subunit ribosomal RNA", at positions 524 to 776 of the family's 1533-position model. The record is from RNAcentral.
UACGGAGGGGGGCGAGCGUUGUCCGAAGUUACUGGGCGUAAAGCGCGCGUAGGCGGGUUGGCAAGUCCGCUGUGAAAGCCCGGUGCUUAACGCCGGAGGGUCGGUGGAUACUGCCAGUCUUGAAGGUGCUAGGGGAAGAUGGAAUUACCCAGUGUAGCGGUGAAAUGCGUAGAUAUUGGUAGGAACACCAGUGGCGAAGGCGGUCUUCUGGAGCACUCUUGACGCUGAGGCGCGAAAGCUGGGGGGAGCGAACGGG